UGAAUACGAGAUGCUACGGCGUCGAAGCAGUGUAUGUCAGACUUCCAAGAAAAGCUCGCAAUGUCAUAAAUAAAGAAUGCCUGUACCAUAACCGACACAGGUGGGUAGGUAGAGUAUACUAAGGGGCGCGAGAUAACUCUCUCUAAGGAACUCGGCAAAAUAACUCCGUAACUUCGGGAGAAGGAGUGCCUUCUUUAAGAAGGUUGCAAUAACAAGAUCCAAGCAACUGUUUAUCAAGAACACAGGUCUCCGCUAAGUCGUAAGACGAUGUAUGGGGGCUGACGCCUGCCCAGUGCCAGAAGGUUAAAGAAGUUGGUUAGCUUUUGCGAAGCUGAUGACUGAAGCCCUGGUGAACGGCGGCCGUAACAAUAACGGUCCUAAGGUAGCGAAAUUCCUUGUCGGGUAAGUUCCGACCCGCACGAAAGGCGUAAUGAUUUGGAUACUGUCUCGGAGAGGGACUCGGUGAAAUAGACUUGUCUGUGAAGAUGCGGACUACCUGCACCAGGACAGAAAGACCCUAUGAAGCUUUACUGUAACUUGAAAUUGAAAUUGGACUUUAUUUGCGCAGUAUAGGUGGAAGGCGUUGAAAGUAAUCUUGCGGGAUUAGUGGAGCCAUCAGUGAGAUACCACUCCUAUAAUGUUAGAUUUCUAACUUUGGAUCAUGAUCUGGUCAAAGAACAGUUUCAGGCGGGCAGUUUGACUGGGGCGGUCGCCUCCCAAAUGGUAACGGAGGCGUACAAAGGUUUCCUCUGAACGGGUAGAAAUCGUAUCUAGAGUGUAAAGGCAUAAGGAAGCUUGACUGUGAGACCUACAAGUCGAGCAGGGACGAAAGUCGGUCUUAGUGAUCUGACGGUGCUGAGUGGAAAGGCCGUCACUCAACGGAUAAAAGUUACUCUAGGAUAACAGGCUGAUCUCCCCCAAGAGUUCACAUCGACGGGGAGGUUUGGCACCUCGAUGUCGGCUCAUCGCAUCCUGGGGCGGUAGUACGUCCCAAGGGUUGGGCUGUUCGCCCAUGAAAGCGGUACGCGAGCUGGGUUCAGAACGUCGUGAGACAGUUCGGUCCAUAUCCGGUGUAGGCGUUAGAAUAUUGAGAGGAGCCUUCUUUAGUACGAGAGGACCGAGAAGGACAUACCUCUGGUGUACCAGUUAUCGUGCCAACGGUAAACGCUGGGUAGCUAUGUAUGGAGAGGAUAGCCGCUGAAAGCAUCUAAGUGGGAAGCCCACCUCAAGAUGAGUAUUCCC
RNAcentral lists this ribosomal RNA (1242 nucleotides) under metagenome. Its description in RNAcentral is "bacterial LSU rRNA". It matches the Rfam family "Bacterial large subunit ribosomal RNA", at positions 1564 to 2815 of the family's 2925-position model. The record is from RNAcentral.